ACAGCAUAUAUUAUAAACAGCAUUUCAUUCCUUGAAGUACACUUUUCAUAAGACAUCUUCAUUAAGUAGGUAAGAC
Molecule: non-coding RNA, 76 nt
Organism: Myotis davidii
Lineage: Eukaryota; Metazoa; Chordata; Mammalia; Chiroptera; Vespertilionidae
Source: Rfam